CACAUCACUUUAAAACACCGGCUUACGUGUGAUCACCGAAGUUAAGCAACGUUGAGCCUGGUCAAUACCUAGAUGGAGGACCGCUUGGGAAUAUC
This is a non-coding RNA of Acanthosepion pharaonis, 95 nucleotides long. NCBI's taxonomy places the organism in Eukaryota, Metazoa, Mollusca, Cephalopoda, Sepiida, Sepiidae. The record is from the annotation of a GenBank genome assembly.